RNAcentral lists this small nuclear RNA (105 nucleotides) under Carlito syrichta (Philippine tarsier). Lineage: Eukaryota; Metazoa; Chordata; Mammalia; Primates; Tarsiidae. The record is from RNAcentral.
GCUCUCACUGCUGUAGCACAUAUAAAAGUUGGAGCGAUGCAGGGAAGAUUGUCGUGGCUUCUCUGUAAGGAUGAUAUGCAAAUUUGUGAAACAGUCUAAGUAUGU